GUGAUGGGGUGUUUGUGGGCUCUGUCACACGACCAUUACCUCACUGCUGCGACUCAGAAGGAAGAGCGGAGGACAGUAAGCUGCUGAGCCUGCUUCCGGGAAGUUAUCCAGUCAACGUUACCUGUCUUCACGACAGCUCUUCUAGUAUCUGGAUCCACUGGGCCAUAAAACAGACCAGUCAGCUGCUGUUCACUGCGAACUAUUUGCUUCAUGAAAAUACUGUUCUGUCUUUACCCCAGGGUCCUUAUAAAUAGCAGAAGCCCUUCUGCUAUUUGGGAAUAAUCUCAUUUACAAAGACUAGAACACACCAGGUCUCUCUGAGGCAAGAAGUGGCUAGCUGCAGCAGAACCUGAUGGCUCUCUGGGGUAAAGCCUCCGUGAUAGAGUAGAAUGUUGUUCUGAAUAUUGAGGGAUCCUGGAUAAGGACCACGGUAAUGAUUGCCUGAGGAGAGUGGGCCUGGACUCCAAGAAGGUCCCGAGAGGCGCAGGUGGGAAAGCUCCUGGAGGCCUUGCUGAACCACAGACAUAAACUCAUACUGCUUAUUGAGAUAAGUCAUGCAAGUAUGUCCCGAAGAAUGUCCCGAAGAAGGAGAAUCCAACUGUUUCUACCCAAAGGAGAAAGGAAUGAUGGGUAAAAAUCUAUAAGGAGACCCAGGGAGGCCCUAUGCAAGGGAAAGAACCUGUACUCAACGGCAAGAA
RNAcentral lists this long non-coding RNA (698 nucleotides) under Cricetulus griseus (Chinese hamster). Its description in RNAcentral is "lncRNA (ENSCGRG00015032829.1)". The record is from RNAcentral. Lineage: Eukaryota; Metazoa; Chordata; Mammalia; Rodentia; Cricetidae.